UACGUAGGGGGCGAGCGUUGUCCGGAAUCAUUGGGCGUAAAGCGCGUGUAGGCGGCUCGAUAAGUCCGGUGUGAAACCUUGGGGCUCAACCCCAAGCCUGCACUGGAUACUGCCGAGCUAGAGUCCGGGAGGGGAGAGCGGAAUUCCUAGUGUAGCGGUGAAAUGCGCAGAUAUUAGGAGGAACACCGGUGGCGAAGGCGGGUCUCUGGGCCGAUACUGACGCUGAGGAGCGAAAGCGUGGGGAGCGAACAGG
Molecule: ribosomal RNA, 253 nt
Filed under: uncultured bacterium
Lineage: Bacteria
Description: partial 16S ribosomal RNA
Rfam family: Bacterial small subunit ribosomal RNA
Source: RNAcentral